This 253-nucleotide ribosomal RNA is filed under the name uncultured bacterium. RNAcentral describes it as "partial 16S ribosomal RNA". It matches the Rfam family "Bacterial small subunit ribosomal RNA", at positions 524 to 776 of the family's 1533-position model. The record is from RNAcentral.
UACGUAGGGGGCGAGCGUUGUCCGGAUUUAUUGGGCGUAAAGAGCUCGUAGGCGGUUUGUCGCGUCUGCUGUGAAAACUGGAGGCUCAACCUCCAGCCUGCAGUGGGUACGGGCCAACUAGAGUGCGGUAGGGGAGAUUGGAAUUCCUGGUGUAGCGGUGGAAUGCGCAGAUAUCAGGAGGAACACCGAUGGCGAAGGCAGAUCUCUGGGCCGUAACUGACGCUGAGGAGCGAAAGCAUGGGGAGCGAACAGG